This 152-nucleotide small RNA is filed under the name Theobroma cacao (cacao). RNAcentral describes it as "sRNA Tc02v2_g020230". The record is from RNAcentral. Lineage: Eukaryota; Viridiplantae; Streptophyta; Magnoliopsida; Malvales; Malvaceae.
GGAAGCUUUUGAAAAGGAAUUCAACUACAAAAACCACUAAGGUUCCAACAAGGCCUCACAUGGCCAUUUGAAGCAUUAGUUGAGGCUAAAGUCAAGCAAAGAAUCAACAAGAUCGAUUCUGAGGCAAUUGGGACCUAGAUUGGGUGUCCACA